This 497-nucleotide ribosomal RNA is filed under the name uncultured bacterium. Its description in RNAcentral is "partial 16S ribosomal RNA". It matches the Rfam family "Bacterial small subunit ribosomal RNA", at positions 28 to 507 of the family's 1533-position model. The record is from RNAcentral.
GAUGAACGCUGGCGGCGUGCCUAAUACAUGCAAGUCGAGCGAACGGACGAGAAGCUUGCUUCUCUGAUGUUAGCGGCGGACGGGUGAGUAACACGUGGAUAACCUACCUAUAAGACUGGGAUAACUUCGGGAAACCGGAGCUAAUACCGGAUAAUAUUUUGAACCGCAUGGUUCAAAAGUGAAAGACGGUCUUGCUGUCACUUAUAGAUGGAUCAGCGCUGCAUUAGCUAGUUGGUAAGGUAACGGCUUACCAAGGCAACGAUGCAUAGCCGACCUGAGAGGGUGAUCGGCCACACUGGAACUGAGACACGGUCCAGACUCCUACGGGAGGCAGCAGUAGGGAAUCUUCCGCAAUGGGCGAAAGCCUGACGGAGCAACGCCGCGUGAGUGAUGAAGGUCUUCGGAUCGUAAAACUCUGUUAUUAGGGAAGUACAUAUGUGUAAGUAACUGUGCACAUCUUGACGGUACCUAAUCAGAAAGCCACGGCUAACUACGUG